This 38-nucleotide ribosomal RNA is filed under the name Isochilus carnosiflorus. Its description in RNAcentral is "partial 26S ribosomal RNA". The record is from RNAcentral. Lineage: Eukaryota; Viridiplantae; Streptophyta; Magnoliopsida; Asparagales; Orchidaceae. RNAcentral also lists the same sequence under 1 other name.
GCGACCCCAGGACGGGCGAGGCCACCCGCCGAGUUUAA